This 119-nucleotide ribosomal RNA is filed under the name Triticum aestivum (bread wheat). The record is from RNAcentral. Lineage: Eukaryota; Viridiplantae; Streptophyta; Magnoliopsida; Poales; Poaceae.
GGAUGCGAUCAUACCAGCACUAAAGCACCGGAUCCCAUCAGAACUCCGAAGUUAAGCGUGCUUGGGCGAGAGUAGUACUAGGAUUGGGGACCUCCUGGGAAGUCCUCGUGUUGCAUUCC